This 858-nucleotide ribosomal RNA is filed under the name uncultured Microbacterium sp. Its description in RNAcentral is "bacterial SSU rRNA". It matches the Rfam family "Bacterial small subunit ribosomal RNA", at positions 28 to 894 of the family's 1533-position model. The record is from RNAcentral. Lineage: Bacteria; Bacillati; Actinomycetota; Actinomycetes; Micrococcales; Microbacteriaceae.
GAUGAACGCUGGCGGCGUGCUUAACACAUGCAAGUCGAACGGUGAACACGGAGCUUGCUCUGUGGGAUCAGUGGCGAACGGGUGAGUAACACGUGAGCAACCUGCCCCUGACUCUGGGAUAAGCGCUGGAAACGGCGUCUAAUACUGGAUACGAGUAGCGACCGCAUGGUCAGUUACUGGAAAGAUUUAUUGGUUGGGGAUGGGCUCGCGGCCUAUCAGCUUGUUGGUGAGGUAAUGGCUCACCAAGGCGUCGACGGGUAGCCGGCCUGAGAGGGUGACCGGCCACACUGGGACUGAGACACGGCCCAGACUCCUACGGGAGGCAGCAGUGGGGAAUAUUGCACAAUGGGCGCAAGCCUGAUGCAGCAACGCCGCGUGAGGGAUGACGGCCUUCGGGUUGUAAACCUCUUUUAGCAGGGAAGAAGCGAAAGUGACGGUACCUGCAGAAAAAGCGCCGGCUAACUACGUGCCAGCAGCCGCGGUAAUACGUAGGGCGCAAGCGUUAUCCGGAAUUAUUGGGCGUAAAGAGCUCGUAGGCGGUUUGUCGCGUCUGCUGUGAAAUCCGGAGGCUCAACCUCCGGCCUGCAGUGGGUACGGGCAGACUAGAGUGCGGUAGGGGAGAUUGGAAUUCCUGGUGUAGCGGUGGAAUGCGCAGAUAUCAGGAGGAACACCGAUGGCGAAGGCAGAUCUCUGGGCCGUAACUGACGCUGAGGAGCGAAAGGGUGGGGAGCAAACAGGCUUAGAUACCCUGGUAGUCCACCCCGUAAACGUUGGGAACUAGUUGUGGGGUCCAUUCCACGGAUUCCGUGACGCAGCUAACGCAUUAAGUUCCCCGCCUGGGGAGUACGGCCGCAAGGC